Molecule: ribosomal RNA, 292 nt
Filed under: uncultured bacterium
Lineage: Bacteria
Description: partial 16S ribosomal RNA
Rfam family: Bacterial small subunit ribosomal RNA
Source: RNAcentral
GUGUCAGCCGCCGCGGUAAUACGAAGGGGGCUAGCGUUGCUAGGAAUCACUGGGCGUAAAGGGUGCGUAGGCGGGUCUUUAAGUCAGAGGUGAAAGCCUGGAGCUCAACUCCAGAACUGCCUUUGAUACUGAAGAUCUUGAGUAUGGGAGAGGUGAGUGGAACUGCGAGUGUAGAGGUGAAAUUCGUAGAUAUUCGCAAGAACACCAGUGGCGAAGGCGGCUCACUGGCCCAUAACUGACGCUGAGGCACGAAAGCGUGGGGAGCAAACAGGAUUAGAUACCCGGGUAGUCC